Molecule: ribosomal RNA, 332 nt
Filed under: uncultured bacterium
Lineage: Bacteria
Description: bacterial SSU rRNA
Rfam family: Bacterial small subunit ribosomal RNA
Source: RNAcentral
UGUGCAGGCGGGCAGACAAGUGGUGUAUGAAAUGACCAGGCUCAACCUGGAACGGUUAUGCCAGACUGUUUGUCUAGAGUGCGAGAGAGGGGCGUGGAAUUCCGGGUGUAGUGGUGAAAUGCGUAGAGAUCCGGAGGAACCCCAGAGGCGAAGGCGGCGCCCUGGCUCGCAACUGACGCUCAGCCACGACAGCAUGGGGAGCGAACGGGAUUAGAAACCCCGGUAGUCCAUGCCGUAAACGAUGCAAACUAGGCGCUGGCGGUCUCAACCCCGCCGGUGCCGUAGCUAACGCGCUAAGUUUGCCGCCUGGGGAGUACGGCCGCAAGGCUAAA